This 253-nucleotide ribosomal RNA is filed under the name uncultured bacterium. RNAcentral describes it as "partial 16S ribosomal RNA". It matches the Rfam family "Bacterial small subunit ribosomal RNA", at positions 524 to 776 of the family's 1533-position model. The record is from RNAcentral.
UACGUAGGUGGCAAGCGUUGUCCGGAUUUACUGGGCGUAAAGAGCGCGCAGGCGGUCGUACAAGUCGCGUGUGAAAGCCCCCGGCUCAACUGGGGAGGGUCACGCGAUACUGUUCGACUCGAAGGCAGGAGAGGGAAGUGGAAUUCCCGGUGUAGUGGUGAAAUGCGUAGAUAUCUGGAGGAAUACCGGUGGCGAAGGCGGCAUCCUGGACCGGCAUUGACGCUGAGGAGCGAAAGCCAGGGGAGCAAACGGG